RNAcentral lists this ribosomal RNA (468 nucleotides) under uncultured bacterium. RNAcentral describes it as "partial 16S ribosomal RNA". It matches the Rfam family "Bacterial small subunit ribosomal RNA", at positions 28 to 507 of the family's 1533-position model. The record is from RNAcentral.
GACGAACGCUGGCGGCGUGCUUAACACAUGCAAGUCGAACGGAAAGGCCCUGCUUUUGGGGGGUGCUCGAGUGGCGAACGGGUGUGAAACACGUGAGUAACCUGCCCAUGACUUUGGGAUAACUUCAGGAAACUGGGGCUAAUCCCGGAUAGGCGCUCCUGCCGCGUGGGGGGGGUUGGAAAGUUUCGGCGGUUGGGGAUGGACUCGCGGCUUAUCAGCUUGUUGGUGGGGUAGUGGCUUACCAAGGCUUUGACGGGUAGCCGGCCUGAGAGGGUGACCGGCCACAUUGGGACUGAGAUACGGCCCAGACUCCUACGGGAGGCAGCAGUGGGGAAUAUUGCACAAUGGGCGGAAGCCUGAUGCAGCAACGCCGCGUGCGGGAUGACGGCCUUCGGGUUGUAAACCGCUUUCGCCUGUGACGAAGCGUGAGUGACGGUAAUGGGUAAAGAAGCACCGGCUAACUACGUG